RNAcentral lists this ribosomal RNA (424 nucleotides) under uncultured bacterium. Its description in RNAcentral is "partial 16S ribosomal RNA". It matches the Rfam family "Bacterial small subunit ribosomal RNA", at positions 360 to 775 of the family's 1533-position model. The record is from RNAcentral.
AAUAUUCCGCAAUGGGCGCAAGUCUGUCGGAGCAACGCCGCGUGAACGAGGAAGUUUUUCGGAUCUUAAAGUUCUGUGGAUAGGGAAGAAUACGUAUCGUUCGCACAGGGCGGUACUGUGACGGUACCUGACGAUAACGCGACGGCUAACUACGUUCCAGCAGCCGCGGUAAUACGGAGGUGGCAAGCGUUGUCCGGAAUUAUUGGGCAUAAAGCGAGCGACGGCGGUGUUUUAAGUCUAAUGUGAACUGUUGCUGCUUAACCGUAAGCGGUCAUUGGACACUGGGAGACUUGAGUACAGAAGAGGAGAGUGGAAUUCCACGUGUAGCGGUGAAAUGCGUAGAGAUGUGGAGGAACACCAGUGACGAAGGCGACUCUCUGGUCUGUGACUGACGCUGAGGCGCGAAAGCGUGGGGAGCAAACAG